Long non-coding RNA from Sarcophilus harrisii (Tasmanian devil), 6810 nucleotides. The record is from Ensembl. Lineage: Eukaryota; Metazoa; Chordata; Mammalia; Dasyuromorphia; Dasyuridae.
GGGCAUCAUAGUAUUUGUACUAACUGCUUCACAGGAUUGUUAUGGGGAUUAAAUAAGAGAAUGUAUGUGAAAGCAUUUUGAAAGCUAGGAAACAGAUUCCCCAAACUUUAGUAAAUCUAUUUUGAAUUUGUGACUUCCUUGAUUUGAAUAUUCCCUUCAGAUCACAAUCUUUUCAUACCUGCCUGUUUUAUGUGACUGUUAACCAUGUCUUUAUCUACUCAAGCCAAGGUUCCACUGGCCAUGCUGGGGGCUUAUCUCGCAUUCCAUUCACGUUGCAUGGAAACCAGUGUUGUAGCACACAAGACUGUUCAUAGGCUGUCCCUCAUGUAACAAUCCUAAUUCAUAUGGAGGAUUAAGUUUUUAAGAAUGAAACUUGGAGAAUAUAUGAAAAGUAGUAAAGUUCUGUGUGGAUUUUCAUAACAGGAUUCCUAAUCCACAAAUAACAAGCUUUAAAUUUCAGUAUAUUUCUUGUUCACCUUUCUCAGCUGUUAGAUGGUUUGUGUUCACUAUGGCUACAAAUUCCUUUUGGUAUUAUCAUUAAUAUCAAAUCGGGAAAGCAAAUCUGCAAUGAAGAAAAAUAAAAUGUUUAUAAAGAGAAUAGAAAUGUUUUGUUCUUUAUACAUUUUGGGUUGAUCUAUGUUCUUUUAAGAAAUAACUUUACCUGAACAUAUUUAGAAUAUAUAUCCAUUUCUUAUAAUGAACAAUUUUGUAUCUUUUAUGGAACACAACAUUACUUCCUCCAUUUCAUCUACUUUUUUGUUCUUAAGAGAAUUUAUAAAAAAAUCCACAGUUUCACGACUUAAGUUUUAAAAAUUUUAUUGCAUUGACCAAAGUUUCACAUUUUUCCUCUUAAGUACAUUAAUCUUCAAAUUGUUAAAAAGCUUAUUUUGUUUUCAAAAAAAAGUUGCAAAGUCUACAAUCAAUUGCAUAUAAAAAUGGGUCACAAAUCAUACCCUUAAAAACAAAGUCAUUAAAAAUGUAAAAUAGCAAAUAUUAAACUACAGAGCAUCGUAGGAUCAAAUUCAGCAUAUAAUUCAAGCACAGAGUUCUAUAUUUAAACAACAAUUAUGUCCAAAAUAGCAUCCUAUAUAGGCAGUGAGAAAAGUAGGGAUGCAUCGCUGUAACACAUACCUGUAAUAUUAGUAUUUGGUGACUUCCUAUGGACAAAUUUUCCUACUAAUUUCAAGAUAUGUAGAAUAAAACAAAUUCUCAGAUAUUACAAAACAAGGCAAUAACAUAAAAACUUUGCAUUAUACAAGAAGUCUAAAAUAAACACUUAAAGUCAAAACUAUUUUCUUUUUGAAUAAUACUGCAGGGUUCUGUUCAUCCUAGCUCUAAUCUUUGAGUUGAAAAGGCAUAAUUACAAAAAUACACUUUCAUCUAAGCCUGUUCUAUGCAAAAGUUACACAUUAGAGGCUGUAAUGUUUGGUCUCAUUAGCAUCCUUAGGUUGAGAAGUUCUUUUUUCCUUUCAGAUACAACCUAGUAGUAAUAGUAAUUAUAUUAACUAGUUAAGUUUAAACAUGAGGGCACAACCUUGCACAGUGCUUAGUAUAGCACAGAGUAGGUCCUUAAUAAAUGCUUAUUGGCUGAUCCCCAAAGUUUAUGACACAACCCAAUGAAUUAGACUGACAGCAACAAUUGUCAGUGGGAGUGAAACAACCAGCAACAGUUCUUUGUCAUCACUAACUUGAGAGUACUUGGAGGUACUGCUGACCAUUCUUCUUAACUCAAUGCAGUUACAAUUAAUCAAAGGGUGAAAGGACAGAUGGCAAAUGACUAUCAAUGGGAACUUAGAUAUAAUAAUUCAAAUAUACCUCCAGGCCCAGGGGUAAAACAUAUUUGUCCAAGUUUUGGGAAUGAGUACUAAAGUAUUUUUUCUUCCUUCUUGAAAAUAUUUUUUUAAAGAGAUAUAGAAUGAUAAGGAAAUCAUUUCAUAAACACACAGCUACCUUUUUUCAGCUUUAGUUUCACUAAAGUACUUAAUUUGUACCCAAAGUGUGCAAAGUUUAGUUGGUAUACUGCCAAAAGGCUUUUUUCUUGAUAAUCAUUCCAGUAUAAUUUGACUACAAAGAAAGACCAUGCACUGCUUUUUAAAAUGUUCAUGUAGUGAUUCUGUAUCUGAAGUUGAAAACCAAUGAAAAUUAUGUUUUAUAUGUAUACAUAUAUGUAACACAAUACAUAAAACAGGUAAUAUGCUUUGUGCUGAACCUUCUCAAGUCUAACAGGUGGGAAUAUACAAUAUAAUAUAAUACAAUACACAAAGAUACACUUAGAAUGGUAUUUUGAGCUUCACAUGCUUAAUUCUAUAAUACAUAAAAGUAAAACAUUUUAAAAGGAACAUUAAGUUCAGCACCAAAUGUAAUCUAAUCUUUCUUUGGUGAAAAAAGUUGAGCAUUCGUAACCCAAGCGCACAGUGAGAACAUGACCUAUAGGGCUGUUUUUCUGUUUUUGUCAAGAAAUCCUUUAGUAAAAUAUAAUACUAAUAAUAAACGUUGGUUCCCUGAAAUAAAUUGAUACCAACUUAGUUGUUAUUAGAUAGUCAUUUGGAUCUAUCACUGACAAAUUAGCACAUGUACAAGAGGAAUUUUUUAAAGUCAGGAAAAGUAUAUAAUAAAAUUUUUGUUUAAAUACUUCCACACAUUAACAUUUGAUAGAAACCCUCUUUAUAUCCUAUCACCUAAAAAUCACUAAUUAUAUACUCAGAUAUUUGUACAGAACUAAUUUGAUUUUAAACAGAUUUUAGUAGUCAUUUUCAGCAAAAUAUGUUCUUAUUGAAGUUCAGUACUUUAAAGAAACCUUUAUUUUACUUAUCCCAUUCAUAGUGAAAGAUGAGAGGAAUUCUUUAAUUGGAUUGAGUAAUGGUAAUUCCCACCAUCUCCACAAAUGCAACAUGUUUACCAAUAGUAUUUUUUUUAAAGGCACCAGGAAUAAAAAACUUUCUUUGCCAUGAUUCCUGGCCCAUCUAGGAAAGGGAUGUUUGUUUCCCAAAGGGAUACUCCAAAAUGAUCAAUAAGGCACAACCAUGGUCAUUUACUUUCUAUUUUCCUAGCAGAAGUAUAGCCUGGCACUAAAAAUCUUCUCAUUGGCAAUACAUUUUUAUAAAUGAGUCAUUACUAUGUUAUAUUCAUUGAUUAGCUCUCUUCUUCAUUUAAUUUCAAAGGACAUAGUAGUUGCUUGCCCCUAUUUUCAUUGCCAAAAUGGCUCAAUUCACUAACACUCAUAAAACAUAGGGUAUUGACAAAAUGUGAAACUCUUUUACUCUCUUAUACUGAAGUCAAAUUUAUGAAAUAACAUCAGCUUGAUUCUGUAAGCUGAGGUAGUCAAUAAUGAUUGUCCAUGAUUAUAUGCUAAGAAAAGGUUAUAUUACCUUUACAUUUAAGUCCAGAUGGCUUUCUAAAUUGGUUAGAAAUAGCAUUCUAAUGCACUAGUUCUAAUCUUUCGAAAUGAAGGAAAUCUACACUCUUUUCUAAUGUUAGUUUUUUUAAAAAGAGGAAUAUCUCCAGAGGUGUGGUAACAGAAACUAUAAAAGGGGAAAUGUUAAAAUUCCUUGAUGAGAUGUAUUUCUACUACCAAAAAAGCAUAUAUAUAUAUACACAAAUAUAUAAAGAGAAAAAUUACGAUGUUUUUUGCAAAAAACAAACCUUAUAUUUUAUUUUAUUUUAUUUUUUUGCUGAGGCAUUUGGGAUUAAGUGACUUGCCCAGGGUCACGCAGCAAGGAAGUGUUAAGUGUCUGAGACUAGAUUUGAACUCAGGUCGCACCACCUAGCUGUUCCUGUAUUUUAUUUUCUAACAACUAACUUUUAAAUCAGAAUUGCACAACAAAAGUGUGACUGAAUAUUUUUAUGGAUUAUUUAUUUUCACAGGAAGAGUUGACUAACAUCGUAUGAUUAUGCGAUUUGAAUGGCAGCAGUGAAAAUAAUUAUGAACAUUCCCUUUUGUUGAUGAAAAGUAAAAGACAAAAAAACUUAAGUUUCCUAUAAAACAUUAGCCUCUAAUAUUCAUGAAAUGCCAAGGUAUGUGCAAUAUUUUGGCCAGAAGUGAGUACAAAUAUAAUAAUUGAAAAUCAAAUAGUCCCAAUUAUUGCCGUCAACAUUGAAGUCAGAAAUAGUCUAAAUCUUCCAAAAAUCCUCUUUACCAAUUACAACUGUUGACCUCAAAAGCAAUACUAGUGACCACUUAUCAAGCUACUAAGGUAGUGAAAUUUCCCCCCAAGAUUGAGUACUAUAUUUUGUUUUUAAUUUUUUAAAAAUGCAGAUGAUGCUUUUAUGGUUGUUAAUACUACUGCAGGGGAAAUUGUCAUAGGGGAAACCCUAACAUAGAUACCACAAUUCUUUCAAAUUAUAUAGUAAACUUUUUUGGAAAGUAUUUUGUUUUAAUCAACCAAGAUCCAUCUUUCAACCUUUUACCCCAACCCUAACUGAGAACAUAAGAAAAACAAAACAAAAGCCAUUCUAAUAUAACAAUAUCUGCCUCCAAUUCGUAUACCAGUAACACUGAAGGAUCGAGUAUUACAAUUUACUAUAUUUUUUAAAAAUUUCAAAGUAACUUAAAUUUCCAUUUAAUAUUUUUUCUAUUAUGAAAGUUGCUAAAACCUUAAGCCAAUCUGUAUAUUUACAAUUUAUGCUUCUGAAAAAUAAAUGAGUUGAUGUUUUACACUAGUAUUACAUUUAGAUAUCCAUGCAAUGUGGAAUGGAAUUUUGCAUAAGCUCCAUCUACUUGGUGUUCUACUCAAGGGAAUUUAGUUAACUUAUAUAGUCAAAGCCCAUCAAAUGUGAAGCACUAAAUAGACUAGAUUAUGGAUCAUAGAAUGCCCUCAUUUUAUAUAUUAGAAAAUGAUGGCCAAAAGUUUAAAUGACGCAUUACCCAAGGUCACAGAGGUGUAUAACAAGUAGUAGAAUUCAGAUUUAAACUUGGGCUCCAGCCACCUCCGAUUUCAGAUACUGUACUCUUUUACAACAGGCAACCUCUCAGUGUGGCUGCAAUGGGAUAAUAGCUAGCCUUGAUAGGAAAUUAAAAGAUUUGCCAGGCACUUUACAAAUACUUCAUUUUUUCCUCACAAUUCACAAAAGAUACAUUUUAUAGAUGAAGAACCUGAGACAGAAAUUAAGUGACAUAGGACAGAGUCAUACAGCUAAUACUGUGUCACCUAGUUUCCUGCUUUACCAGGCUGCCUCUCAUAAGGAAACUACAAUGGGAUAUAAUAACAAAAGGUGCUGUAGAAAAAUAUUCAGACCCAAAGGCUUGAAAACUUUGAAACAUUUAAAAUAUUAAUAAUUAAUAAUUUAAAAUAUUAAUAAAAUGCAUUCUUUUAUGGCCAACAAAAUACAUGUUCACAAUGUCAUACUUCGCCUAGACUAUUUAAUGGUUUUAUAUUAGACCAGCCAUUCUUAUCCAUUUCAAUUCUCCAUAAGUUAAAUUUUGGAGUCCUCUAGCAAAUUCUAUCAUGGUUGCAUAAUCCAAAGCUAGAUCAGAAACCUCAAAAUCUAAACAAUGUUCAUUAUGGGGAAGGAUAAACUAGUGAUCAUUUUCGAAGGAAAAUAAUCAAUAGGAAAACAUGUCAAUAGAGGAAAGGAAGAAAGGGUUUCUAUGAUAAAAAAAAAAAUGCACCAUCAGCUGCUUCACUGCUAUUUAAGACCUAGGUUCUCUAAAUCAAAGCUACUAAAAAAAAAUAACUUUCUAAUGAGCUAAAAAUAUUGAAGUCCACCCAGAUGUAGGAAAUGCAAUAAGGAUAAAAAGGGCAUAAUAUAUAGGAGUUCACAGCAUCACCAAAAGAAUUGAGAUGGAAAAACUUUGGAAAACAUUUAAAACACUGCCCUUUCUGGCAGUCUGUUGAAACCUCUGGAUAUCCUUUCAGAAUAAUAUUUUUAAGUGAAUAAAAUAAAACACAUAGGAGUACAAAAGAAAUAAAUUAUAUAGGUCAUAAAAUAUUUUUUUAAAAGUUUAUAGAAUCACGUUAAGAAUCCAAUCCAAAAUAAUCUUAUUUCUUAGAUGACAAAAUGAGGGAUGAGAGAGGUUAAAUAACUGUUCAAGGAUAACACACAACAGUAAAGCAGAGAUACCAACAGUAAUUCAAAUCUAGAUCCUUGGAGAUUCUGUCAUAUUCCCCAUUAUAAUAUCCUGCCUCAUUUACACACUAAAUGAAGAAUUUGCUUCAAAAAAAGGAUUUACAUAUAUUAUUUUUAAAAUUUAAGUUAUUUCAAAACUAGAUACAAUAGGAAAUUUUUCUAUCAGGAAUGCACUAGUAAUAUAAAUAUGGAGUUACUUCUGGAAUGCACUAGUAAUAUAAAUAUGGAGUUACUUCUGAGGAUAGGGACUGGAUCUGGGACUUCAUUAAUGUAGGGAACUUCCUGGUUAACUCUAUCAAUGCAAGUAAGCCCUUUUCUGUAAUUUAUGCUUUUAAGAGGUUUGCCUAGUGUGUACAACCUAUGUGAAAUUGCUUGCUUUCUCAAUUGGCCUGAGAGAGAGCACGAGGGGAAGAAGAGAGGAAAAAGAGGGCAGAGUAGAAAGUUGAGACCUUUGAACACAAAAAUUUUAAGAAAUGAAUAUAAAAAAUUUUUUUACAUGUAAAUGGGGGGGAUAAGUUUGUUUGUUUUUAAAAGCGUUUCCUGGAUAAUUGAAAAGUUAAGUUAAAUUGCUCAGGGUUUACAAAUUUAGCAUGUACCAGAGGCAGGAAUUGAACUUGCAUCUUUCUGGCUUUGAAACUAGCUUGUCAUUCAAUAUACCAUUUUUACCUUAGAUUUCUGAGAGUAAAGUAUUAAAAAAAAAAAAAAAAAACUAUACCUAAAACAAUAGUCCCAUUACUGAUAUUU